Molecule: small RNA, 974 nt
Filed under: Pan troglodytes (chimpanzee)
Lineage: Eukaryota; Metazoa; Chordata; Mammalia; Primates; Hominidae
Description: retained intron
Source: RNAcentral
GACCCCUACCAUGGAGGAGACCAUCAAAGAUCCCCCCACAUCGGCUGUCUUGCUGGAUCACUGUCAUUUCUCUCAGGUCAUCUUUAACAGUGUGGAGAAGUUCUACAUCCCUGGAGGGGACGUCACAUGUCAUUAUACCUUCACCCAGCAUUUCAUCCCUCGUCGAAAGGAUUGGAUUGGCAUCUUUAGAGUAAGUGGUUAAUUCAGUACCAAGUGAUCAGGAACUAGAGGUGAUUCUUAGUUACCUAACUGUGUGACUCUCUGUGUAUUAUAAGCAUUUCGUAUGAUAUGUGUUGGCAGUUUUUAAAUUCUAGCCAAGCUCCACAGCACUUCUCUCUUCACACAUUAAUGUGUGCUGUGGGACUCAAAUUUUCAUUUCAGUGUCAAGCUAAAAUAAGAUGGCAAAUCAUAUAAUCCUCAAAUUUUGUUAUGCUUUUUUUUUUUGCUUUUUUCUUUUCUUUUCUUUUUUUUUUUGAAAUAGAGUCUUGCUCUGUCACCUAGGCUGGAGUGCAGUGGCACGAUUCGUCUCACUGCUACCUCCACCUCCCGGGUUCAAGCAGUUCUCCUGCCUCAGCAUCCCGAGUAGCUGAGAUUACAGGUAGCUGCCACCACAUCUGGCUAAUUUUUGUAUUUUUAGUAAAGACGAGGUUUCACCAUGUUGGCCAGGCUGGUCUCAAACUCCUGAUCUCAGGUGAUCUGCCUGCCUCAGCCUCCCAAAGUGCUGGAAUUACAGGCGUGACCCACCACGCCUGUCCUUAUUAUGCUGUCAAAAACCAAAUAUAAAUGCUUGCUUGUUGUUGUUGAGAUAGGGUCUUGCUCUGUCUCUCAGAGUGGAGUGUAGUUCACUGCAGCCUCAACCUCCUCCCAGGCUCAGUGAUCCUCCCACCUCAGCCUUUUCAGUAGCUGGGACUACAGGUAUGCAGAACAAUGCCUAACAAUGCCUAACUGAUUUCUUUCUUUUUUUUUUUUUUCUU